Long non-coding RNA from Betta splendens (Siamese fighting fish), 3726 nucleotides. RefSeq lists it as uncharacterized. Lineage: Eukaryota; Metazoa; Chordata; Actinopteri; Anabantiformes; Osphronemidae. The transcript is spliced from 2 exons. The record is from RefSeq and is a predicted model, not a curated record.
CCUCCCUCACUCUAAAUUCUAAUCAAUCUAAGCCUCCACAGAUCCGGUGCUUUUUUCCCCCCGUCUCACUUCCUCUGUCACCGCAGACCGUGUCCCCGGCUCUGCUUCUUCUACCUUUGACCUUUAUCUAUCAGCGCAGCCCGUCUCCUCACUUUGCGUUGAAAUCCCCAUAGAUUUGGUCACAAGAAUCUCAGCGUCUCCUGAAGCAGAUAAAAAAGAAAUACUUCCAUGGCUGAGUGAACAGACAAACAAACAGCUAAACGAAUGUUUGCACAAGCAAAUAGCUGCUCGGCUGGAUUAAUGAAUGGACACGUAUAGAGAAUGGAGGGAGGGAUCGUUGCAGGAAUUCAUCCAUUUGGUUUCCAUCCUAGCCCCAAGGCCCUGGGAAUGUAAUUGCUUCAUGCAUAGUUGAUACACUGCAUAAUCAACCGAAUACACUAGAUUUUCCCACUGUUUAUGUAGAACGCUGCACUUGUGCACUCGCAGGUCAUUGGUGGAGUUUAGAUUCCAUGGGAGGUGUCUCGCAGCGAAAAAGGGCUUAUUCAUAUCUCAGUGCUCAUCUCUCGCCUUUCGAAUGGCCAGAUACACGCGGGACUCGUGAAAAGCGCGCUGUCCUGUAGUCGAAUCAGAUCCACGUUGUGUUUUAUUCAUACAAAACAAGGAUGAAAUAUUCAUAACAGAUUUUGAGCAGCGCUCUCUCCUGCGCCUCGUACCUCUCGUGCACGAAUUCUAAUUAAAAAUCUGAUGGGUUUUUUUUUUUUUGCUUCCUUUGUUUAGGAGCAUCAGUAUAAUGCAAAUGGAUGGAAGGAGCUCCCAGUGGGCAUCGGCAGUUUGUGUUCAUGCGGCAUGCCAAUGCACGACGCAUGAAGCUACCUCGACACGGAACAGGCGAGCCGAACAUGCUGCACUACACAGAGAGACGGAUUUCUCCUCUGUUGAUGGAAGCCUGGGAUGAGAGACGCAUGCCAAAGACCAUCACAGCGUAGCGUUUCCACGCGGGCGCCAAGGAGCGCGCCCGCGCCGCGCAAUUCCUUCCGCAGACGUAUAGGAACAGAUAAGCUUGACUGGCCAUUCAUAGCGGCGGACCCGCACAGCCGGGCGGCGCCGCACACGACCAGGAACAGCGGGACGCAAAAUGCUUUUGCUUCACGAGGUGAAUGAACAGCCACAGCCUGAGGGAGGAAAAAUUACAGGCAGCAAAGCCUUCAUUUUGUAUCGGGAAGGUGUGCUCACACUGCUUUUGUGGAGCAGCAGGGACGUGUCAGGGGCAAAGUCCCCAUGUCUCCAUCUCUAAUUGGAGCGUAUCCCUCUGCCCUGUCCCUAUCACACUAUGGCGGAGGCAGGAUGCUGCGCUAAUGGAUGGCCCCCCCAUGGCGCGCGUGUCCUUGAUGUGCGAGGCCGACGGAGGCCCACGCUGAGCGGAGACUGCAGAUUAGACGCAAAUCGGAAGAUUUGUUUGUCCUCUCCGCGCGGGCGGGACAUUCAAGGAGAGGGACCGGCCGCGGCUGUGAUGGAGUGGGGUGGACCGCUGCGACAGAUGUGUGUUAGUGUGACUGAUGCGCUCUGGGUGAGCGGGCCGCACCGGGUCACCGACACCUGGAGAAUGAACACGAGCCCGUCCAGGAAACGCCCGAGAAUACUGAUGAUGUUUGCUUCGAUCAGCGUCCAACAGGCAAACAAGCCGACCAAAGGCAGCUAUGUGUGAUAACACCUUGGGUGAAGAUUUAGGAGAAGACAACGACGUUGUAAUUACCUGUGCUAAAUUGGAACUGUGGAUGCUCAAUGAGCUAUAAACAAGGUUACUCUGAUCCCCUUGGGGUAAUUGUUUCGAAAACCUGCAACAGUCUGGUCCAGUGAUGGAGAAAUUGGAAGGCGUGGUAUCCUGUAAUUUCUCACACCACUGAAGCGUGGCCUGUGUGUGGGCUAAAACUGAGGUUGAUUUGAAAUGGAGGCACAACUUCUCGUUCCCCCCCCCCCGUGCUGCAGGAAUCCAAGCCGUCGGCUCCGGCCCGAGGACGGCGGGGCCCUGGGGGUCAGCGGGCGACGGCCGCCGAGGCCUUCACGAUUCAGCGACCGGCACAUUUGCAUCACACAACACGUCUCCCGUUAUGGAUACGGCGCCCGCCUGCAAAUCGUAUUGUGCUGGAAUACAUUCACAGGGAGCCGCAGGCGCAGAGGAAGAGGAGGCGCCGGGAAACGGCCUCAUCCGACGGGAUGCGGGACGCCGCGGGCGACCGGUCGCCUCUCACACACACUGACCCUCACUACGACCGGAGAAAACGGCCUCAAAUAGGAUGUUGCACCGGCCGAUAUGGAGCUGGAGGUUUAUUUGCAAAUCCACAGACAUUUGAUAAUGAUCCUUCCCUCAACUUAAAAAACUUAAGUCACCGGCUUCAGCAGCCGCUGCCAUUAAUAACAUAUUAACGAUGUUCGUCUGCUUCAACAUUAUAAUAUUUUUGCAGGGGCUCAAUUUUAAAUCCAUCACGAGGACUCAUUACUACUAUGCAGCUGAGGAAUUAUGGGAACAAGGCCCUUCGCUGGCUGUCUGUCACGACAACACUGUCAGAUGUGCUUAGGCUGGGGGGGCUGUUAAAAGGAGCACGGGGACUUAUCUGCUCAGCUGUAAAAUGAUUUUCUGUCUCUGCAAGACAUACUGGGAGUGUGUGUGCGGGGGGUAUCAGUGAUCUGAGAGUAAUUAAGAUAUGGGCUCACAUCACACAAGGGCUUUGCACGUGGGAGACGGGCAGAUAAAAUUGAAUGUAAAAUAGUUGAGUUUAAAGGGGGAGUUUGAUUAAUUAUAAAACUCUCAGAGGACGGUCCACCCCCUCUUGAAUUGUAUUGCCAUCCAAAAGGCGCUGCGCUGCGGCUGAUGACCCAAACACCUCUCCUUUAUCUGUCGCAGGCAGGUUAUCUUCAUUUCAGCCCAUCCAUUUGCUGUACUGCUUUUUCUGCGCGACUGGAAUGCGUCAUUAUCUUCAUAUCAAGCUGCUCCACAUAAAGAUUUUCUUUAAAUGCUAAGACAAUUGUGUGCUGAAUGGAAGUUCAAUUGUGGUUAUGACACAUAGCCUAUCUGCAGCGGUCCUUUCACCACGCUCAGUGUCAUUACUAAAGAUGCUGAUUCCAGGCUUCGGCCAAUGAUAUAUCACUCUGGAAACCGCUGACAAUGACGUUCUGCUUCAUCCCAAAAUUAAGGAAAUACACUUAAUCACUUUCUGUCUUCGGGGGCUUUGAGUGGCUUAAUGUAUGCGUCUGUGUGAUAAUGUGCCUUUUGCCAGUUGACAGGAUAGUGUAAUGUGAUUUAAUGUAAUGUUUUCCCAUUGGUGCUGCUGGGCUCGGGGCUCCAGCCGGCGUUGGUUAGCGCAGCCUAGCUCGCAGCCCGGGAGCAGAGGCGGCUCAGGGGCGGCCGGCCUUCCAGCAGCUCAACAAAUGCUAAAUGAUCAAAACCACAAUGCUCCUUUUUACAGGGGUUUAUGUACCAAGCCACUUCUUGCCCCCGAGCAGUUGCUAAGCAACCAGCCGAGACCCCAGUAAAGAACGCCAGAAAUCAGCCUGGAGCAGGAGCCAACUCCAGGGAGAAAACCAGUUAAUUGUAAAUUUCCCCCAUAUAUAAUAUUAAUUGUAAAUUAAUGAGCGGAUUUUGUUACCUUUCCACGGCUCACUUUCCAGUUUGUCAGGCUUUGCUAACCAGUUGCCGUCUGUUCCUUUACAAUAAAUUGACUCCCGUGA